UUUCGCAAUGCCCGAAAGGGUGACGAAGCGACGCCGCGUGUGGGAAGAAGGCUCUAGGGUUGUAAACCACUGUCAGGAGUUAAGAAAUGUAAAGGUGUUAAUAGCGCCUUUAUUUGACGAAGGCUCCAAAGGAAGCCACGGCUAACUCUGUGCCAGCAGCCGCGGUAAUACAGAGGUGGCAAGCGUUGUUCGGAAUUAUUGGGCGUAAAGAGCACGUAGGUGGUUUUGUAAGUCAGGUGUGAAAGCCUUCUGUUCAAAGGAAGAACGGCAUCUGAAACUGCAGAUCUUGAGUGUAGGAGGGGAGAGUGGAACUUCUGGUGGAGCGGUGAAAUGCGUAGAUAUCAGAAGGAACGCCGGCGGCGAAAGCGACUCUCUGGUCUAUAACUGACACUGAGGUGCGAAAGCUAGGGGAGCAAACGGGAUUAGAUACCCCGGUAGUCCUAGCCGUAAACGAUGGGCACUAAGUAGAGGGGUUUUA
This 478-nucleotide ribosomal RNA is filed under the name uncultured anaerobic ammonium-oxidizing bacterium. RNAcentral describes it as "bacterial SSU rRNA". It matches the Rfam family "Bacterial small subunit ribosomal RNA", at positions 364 to 833 of the family's 1533-position model. The record is from RNAcentral.